Molecule: transfer RNA, 69 nt
Filed under: Loxodonta africana (African savanna elephant)
Lineage: Eukaryota; Metazoa; Chordata; Mammalia; Proboscidea; Elephantidae
Rfam family: tRNA
About the family: Transfer RNA (tRNA) molecules are approximately 80 nucleotides in length. Their secondary structure includes four short double-helical elements and three loops (D, anti-codon, and T loops). Further hydrogen bonds mediate the characteristic L-shaped molecular structure. tRNAs have two regions of fundamental functional importance: the anti-codon, which is responsible for specific mRNA codon recognition, and the 3' end, to which the tRNAs corresponding amino acid is attached (by aminoacyl-tRNA synthetases). tRNAs cope with the degeneracy of the genetic code in two manners: having more than one tRNA (with a specific anti-codon) for a particular amino acid; and 'wobble' base-pairing, i.e. permitting non-standard base-pairing at the 3rd anti-codon position.
Source: Rfam by way of RNAcentral
GCAGUAGUGGUUCAGUGGUAGAAUUCUCACCUUCCAUGUGGGAGACCCAGGUUUGAUUCCCAGCCAGCA